GGAAAAGUUGCUAUUGGCAGGGCAAGAUAUUUGCUAAAUAUCGUGUAUUUAACACAUGGAUGUUCAAAUCAUCUCUUUUCCG
This 82-nucleotide transfer RNA is filed under the name Bacidia sp. RNAcentral describes it as "tRNA-Ser". The record is from RNAcentral. Lineage: Eukaryota; Fungi; Ascomycota; Lecanoromycetes; Lecanorales; Ramalinaceae.